CSSAKKYGUUUUKAAUCAUGGCUCAGGACGAACGCUGGCGGCGUGCCUAMUACAUGCAAGUCGAGCGGACAGAUGGGAGCUUGCUCCCUGAUGUUAGCGGCGGACGGGUGAGUAACACGUGGGUAACCUGCCUGUAAGACUGGGAUAACUCCGGGAAACCGGGGCUAAUACCGGAUGGUUGUUUGAACCGCAUGGUUCAGACAUAAAAGGUGGCUUCGGCUACCACUUACAGAUGGACCCGCGGCGCAUUAGCUAGUUGGUGAGGUAACGGCUCACCAAGGCRACGAUGCGUAGCCGACCUGAGAGGGUGAUCGGCCACACUGGGACUGAGACACGGCCCAGACUCCUACGGGAGGCAGCAGUAGGGAAUCUUCCGCAAUGGACGAAAGUCUGACGGAGCAACGCCGCGUGAGUGAUGAAGGUUUUCGGAUCGUAAAGCUCUGUUGUUAGGGAAGAACAAGUGCCGUUCAAAUAGGGCGGCACCUUGACGGUACCUAACCAGAAAGCCACGGCUAACUACGUGCCAGCAGCCGCGGUAAUACGUAGGUGGCAAGCGUUGUCCGGAAUUAUUGGGCGUAAAGGGCUCGCAGGCGGUSUCUUAAGUCUGAUGYGAAAGCCCCCGGCUCAACCGGGGAGGGUCAUUGGAAACUGGGGAACUUGAGUGCAGAAGAGGAGAGUGGAAUUCCACGUGUAGCGGUGAAAUGCGUAGAGAUGUGGAGGAACACCAGUGGCGAAGGCGACUCUCUGGUCUGUAACUGACGCUGAGGAGCGAAAGCGUGGGGAGCGAACAGGAUUAGAUACCCUGGUAGUCCACGCCGUAAACGAWGRGUGCUAAGUGUUAGGGGGUUUCCGCCCCUUAGUGCUGCAGCUAACGCAUUAAGCAYUCCGCCUGGGU
RNAcentral lists this ribosomal RNA (895 nucleotides) under Bacillus subtilis. Its description in RNAcentral is "bacterial SSU rRNA". Lineage: Bacteria; Bacillati; Bacillota; Bacilli; Caryophanales; Bacillaceae. The record is from RNAcentral.